UACGUAGGGCGCAAGCGUUGUCCGGAAUUAUUGGGCCUAAAGCAUCCGUAGCCGGUUCUACAAGUCUUCCGUUAAAUCCACCUGCUUAACAGAUGGGCUGCGGAGGAUACUAUAGAGCUAGGAGGCGGGAGAGGCAAGCGGUACUUAGUGGGUAGGGGUAAAAUCCGUUGAUCCAUUGAAGACCGCCAGUGGCGAAGGCGGCUUGCCAGAACGCACUCGACGGUGAGGGAUGAAAGCUGGGGGAGCAAACCGG
Molecule: ribosomal RNA, 253 nt
Filed under: uncultured bacterium
Lineage: Bacteria
Description: partial 16S ribosomal RNA
Rfam family: Bacterial small subunit ribosomal RNA
Source: RNAcentral